CCCAGACUCCUACGGGAGGCAGCAGUAGGGAAUUUUGCGCAAUGGGCGAAAGCCUGACGCAGCAACGCCGCGUGAUCGAGACGCCCUUCGGGGUGUAAAGAUCUGUCAGUGGGGACGAAACUUGACGGUACCCACAGAGGAAGCACCGGCUAACUACGUGCCAGCAGCCGCGGUAAUACGUAGGGGGCAAGCGUUAUCCGGAUUUACUGGGUGUAAAGGGAGCGUAGACGGCAUGGCAAGUCUGGUGUGAAAGGCAGGGGCUCAACCCCUGGACUGCAUUGGAAACUGUCAGGCUGGAGUGCAGGAGAGGUAAGUGGAAUUCCUAGUGUAGCGGUGAAAUGCGUAGAUAUUAGGAGGAACACCAGUGGCGAAGGCGACUUACUGGACGAUAACUGACGUUGAGGCUCGAAAGCGUGGGGAGCAAACAGGAUUAGAUACCCGCGUAGG
This 447-nucleotide ribosomal RNA is filed under the name uncultured bacterium. Its description in RNAcentral is "bacterial SSU rRNA". It matches the Rfam family "Bacterial small subunit ribosomal RNA", at positions 330 to 794 of the family's 1533-position model. The record is from RNAcentral.